This 72-nucleotide transfer RNA is filed under the name Ixodes scapularis (black-legged tick). RNAcentral describes it as "tRNA-Ser for anticodon GGA". It matches the Rfam family "tRNA". Rfam says of the family: Transfer RNA (tRNA) molecules are approximately 80 nucleotides in length. Their secondary structure includes four short double-helical elements and three loops (D, anti-codon, and T loops). The record is from RNAcentral. Lineage: Eukaryota; Metazoa; Arthropoda; Arachnida; Ixodida; Ixodidae.
UCCUGGUUAGCUCAUUUAGUAGAGCACUCCACUGGAAAUGGAGAGGUUCUGAUUCGAUACCAGAACCAGUGG